Molecule: ribosomal RNA, 251 nt
Filed under: uncultured bacterium
Lineage: Bacteria
Description: partial 16S ribosomal RNA
Rfam family: Bacterial small subunit ribosomal RNA
Source: RNAcentral
ACGGAGGAUCCAAGCGUUAUCCGGAUUUAUUGGGUUUAAAGGGAGCGUAGGCGGAAGCUUAAGUCAGUUGUGAAAGUUUGCGGCUCAACCGUAAAAUUGCAGUUGAUACUGGGUUUCUUGAGUGCAGUAGAGGUAGGCGGAAUUCGUGGUGUAGCGGUGAAAUGCUUAGAUAUCACGAAGAACUCCGAUUGCGAAGGCAGCUUACUGGACUGUAACUGACGCUGAUGCUCGAAAGUGUGGGUAUCAAACAG